CUAAGAAUAUUGCACAAUGGACGAAAGUCUGAUGCAGCGACACCGCGUGAGGGAUGACAGCUUUAGGGUUGUAAACCUCUUUUAUUAGGGAAUAGCAAGGAAGGUACCUAAUGAAUAAGCUACGGCUAACUACGUGCCAGCAGCCGCGGUAAUACGUAGGUAGCGAACGUUGUCCGGAAUCACUGGGCGUAAAGGGUCCGUAGGCGGUUUAAUAAGUCUCAUAUGAAAGCUCCAAGCUCAACUUGGAGAUGUUGUGAGAUACUGUUAGACUUGAGGCUGUUAGAGGCAAGUGGAAUUCCAGGUGUAGUGGUGAAAUGCGUAGAUAUCUGGAGGAACACCAGUGGCGAAAGCGACUUGCUGGGACAGUUCUGACGCUAAGGGACGAAAGCGUGGGGAGCAAACCGG
Molecule: ribosomal RNA, 405 nt
Filed under: uncultured bacterium
Lineage: Bacteria
Description: bacterial SSU rRNA
Rfam family: Bacterial small subunit ribosomal RNA
Source: RNAcentral